UAGGGAAUCUUCCGCAAUGGGCGAAAGCCUGACGGAGCAACGCCGCGUGAGUGAUGAAGGUCUUCGGAUCGUAAAACUCUGUUAUUAGGGAAGAACAAAUGUGUAAGUAACUAUGCACGUCUUGACGGUACCUAAUCAGAAAGCCACGGCUAACUACGUGCCAGCAGCCGCGGUAAUACGUAGGUGGCAAGCGUUAUCCGGAAUUAUUGGGCGUAAAGCGCGCGUAGGCGGUUUUUUAAGUCUGAUGUGAAAGCCCACGGCUCAACCAUGGAGGGUCAUUGGAAACUGGAAAACUUGAGUGCAGAAGAGGAAAGUGGAAUUCCAUGUGUAGCGGUGAAAUGCGCAGAGAUAUGGAGGAACACCAGUGGCGAAGGCGACUUUCUGGUCUGUAACUGACGCUGAUGUGCGAAAGCGUGGGGAUCAAACAGG
RNAcentral lists this ribosomal RNA (429 nucleotides) under Actinomycetes bacterium. Its description in RNAcentral is "Actinobacteria bacterium partial 16S ribosomal RNA". It matches the Rfam family "Bacterial small subunit ribosomal RNA", at positions 355 to 776 of the family's 1533-position model. RNAcentral also lists the same sequence under 1 other name. The record is from RNAcentral. Lineage: Bacteria; Bacillati; Actinomycetota; Actinomycetes.